RNAcentral lists this transfer RNA (72 nucleotides) under Camelus bactrianus (Bactrian camel). It matches the Rfam family "tRNA". From Rfam's summary of the family: Transfer RNA (tRNA) molecules are approximately 80 nucleotides in length. Their secondary structure includes four short double-helical elements and three loops (D, anti-codon, and T loops). Lineage: Eukaryota; Metazoa; Chordata; Mammalia; Artiodactyla; Camelidae. The record is from Rfam by way of RNAcentral. RNAcentral also lists the same sequence under 2 other names.
GAGGGUGUAGCUCAGUGGUAGAGCACAUGCUUAGCCUGCAUGAGGUCCUGGGUUCAAUCCCCAGUACUUCCA